RNAcentral lists this ribosomal RNA (94 nucleotides) under Dyschoriste cinerascens. Its description in RNAcentral is "5.8S ribosomal RNA". It matches the Rfam family "5.8S ribosomal RNA", at positions 1 to 89 of the family's 154-position model. From Rfam's summary of the family: 5.8S ribosomal RNA (5.8S rRNA) is a component of the large subunit of the eukaryotic ribosome. Lineage: Eukaryota; Viridiplantae; Streptophyta; Magnoliopsida; Lamiales; Acanthaceae. The record is from RNAcentral.
AAAACAACUCUCGGCAACGGAUAUCUUGGCUCUCGCAUCGAUGAAGAACGUAGCGAAAUGCGAUACUUGGUGUGAAUUGCAAAAUCCCGUGAAC